UUUUAUUUUUAGAACCUUGUGUUAAUGGAAAUUUAUCAAUUUCGCCGGAUGAACUAUCAUCACUUUUCUCCAUAACUUACCUAUAUCCAGAGGAUGAAACACCACAAACCUCGACAACAGUAGCUAAUGUUGAACAGAAAAAUAAUUAUUCUGCAGAAACCUGUGUCGAUGAAAACCUAGAAGUUUCUUGUCAACCAUCAUCUUCUACAAUAAAUCCCAAAGAAAACAUGGAGAAUGAUGUGAACAUUCUAAACUGUACUGAAACGGCUCACUGUGAACAAACGAAUGAUCAUGCUGAUUAUAACAGCGACGAAAACAGAUUGAAUUCAAGUCGAAAAUCUUCAUUUUCAUCAUCCUCGUCGUCAUGUUCUUGCACCUCAACGAGUUCGACUUCAAAUUCAUCUGACAAUGAAACCAGUCAAACUAGCCAUGUCAUGAAGAAUAACGCCCAUUCAGAAGUAAUUUUAGAAGAAAGGAAAAGUCCGGUAGAGGAGAAGAUAGAAGAAAAUAAUGGAUCGGGAAAAGAAGAAAGAAAUGACUUCAUCAGAUAAUGACAUUACAGAUCCUGAUUGUAGGGAUGCGAAGAACGACUUAUCAGAAUCUAGUGAAGAAGAAGGACACCGGAAAUAGACAAAAAUAAAUUAUCCAGAAAGAUAAAAGCCAAUCCACAAAAUUGGAAGAGUAAUAUCGCGAAACGUUUAAGAAAUUCAGGAGAGUAUUUAGGUAAAAACAAAAAACUUGUACGACAAAGAAGACUAGGACUAGGUUGUCCUGAAAAAUGCCAUUUGAAAUGCUCUACAAAAUUUGAUCAUGCCACUCGUCAACAUAUCUUCGAUUCUUUCUAUAGACUACCGGAUUUGCAAAGUAAAAGGAAUUUUAUUGCAUUCAAUAUCUCGGCCAAUGUUCCCAAGUAUCAGUACAAAACACUAACCCGGCGCAAUAAUAACGCAUUUCAUUUGUCAGACCAGGAAGGAGCCAAAGUUCGAGUUUGUAAAACUUUUUUCAUGUCCACAUUGGAUAUAACUGACAGAUGCAUCCGGACGGUUACAGACAAACCCCAAAAUACUAUAUCUAUAUGUUGUAGCUUACAAAAAUUGAUUCUUCAGGAAACAGCACGGGCAUGUAUUAAGCAUGAGAUGGUUUAAAAGAGAUGAGAACUUUAAGGUUAAAGAAAUCUCAAACUCACAGGAAAACUGAUUAAAAACUGAUAACUAAGUACCAUUAAACUGGCAAGUUAGUAAACUACUAUAUACGUAUAAUACAAAAACAAUUUAUCAUCUUUAAAAUCAUAAGGCAUAGCCAUAGGGUAUAUUAUAUAUGAGAAAGGUAGGUACCUGGUAGGUACAAUAUGAUCAAUGUCUUUCAUAUGUAAAAUUAUAUAGGGAAUGUCAUCGAUCG
Long non-coding RNA from Sitophilus oryzae (rice weevil), 1398 nucleotides. RefSeq lists it as uncharacterized. NCBI's taxonomy places the organism in Eukaryota, Metazoa, Arthropoda, Insecta, Coleoptera, Curculionidae. The record is from RefSeq and is a predicted model, not a curated record. The transcript is spliced from 4 exons.